UAAGGAAAAAUGCCUAAAAUUCUCCCUAAUCCAUACUUGUAGUAUAAUAAUCUCAUCUCAAACAAACAUGAUGGUUUCCAGUCGAUACAAUUCUACUGGGUUGAAGUGCUCCCAUCGCUGUUCAAUCCAACGACUGAAAUCAACCGGUCGGAUUGCGCGAACCGUCCGUGUGACGACCCGGUUUCGGUACAACUUAACCUUACAAGGUGGUGAAGGACCAGAAGAACGGGAACGCCGUGAUAUACUUCCGUUCCGCCCCACGUCGGUUAACCCGACCCGGGGUCUGAAGCCCUAGCGGCCGGAGGGCGCAAAGUUCGUCUCGUCCCUGAUCGCGUUGUGCGCCUGCCUCGACGAGGUAGAAGUUUGAUGGAGCCUUCCUUAUUUGCAUCUUCCCCUGAUAAAUCAGAAUUGGAUCUUAAGUCAUCAUUUAGAAAACCCACAAAUGAUGCAACUAGUCGCAAGUAUCGACGCCAUUCACCUGUUGGUAGAUCAGAUUCAUCUUCAUCUGGUGGCAGCCCUAACUUCACCCAAGGGAAGUUCAUACUAGGACACCUGAUGAUCAGCAGAGAAAGGAAGCUGGAAGAGAAUCAUAAAGGGAUUCUGGUAGUAUUAGGUCCAGUAGAGGACAUGAUUCUCGGAAGCAUGCUGCGAGGCAUUCACAUGCAAAUUCCCAUGACUACAGGAGGCAUGAUGAUUAUAGCAGGCAUCGCAGGCAGUUGAUGAGAAUAAUAGGAAUUAUCAGAUGUCAUCUGGGGCUGGUCGAGAAUCAAGGGACUAUCGUCACUCUGAUGACACAGAAAGUGAGAGAAUAUCUGAUGAAAACCGAGAUAAUCGGUGAAAUGUUGACAAUCAUUCUAAAGAAAAAACUGAUAUUUCAGAGCAUAAGAACAAGAAAAAGGAAAGAGAACCUGAUAAAGACUAUGACAGAGAUAUCAGUGCCAGACGACUGAAGGAAAGCGAAAAAAGUAAUAAGAAGGAUUUCCAUGGUCAGGAGGAUCUGGUCUUAAAGAGGAAGUAUAUUGGAAGGGAAGUUGACAGCACAGGGAGAAAUAUACCAGGGUAAGAGAAGAAUUUCAGACAGAAAAACAAAGUUUCAGUCACUGAGAAAGAGAUGGAAAGAAUGAAAAAAAAUGUUGAUAAAGCCUCAGAUUUGAUAAACAGGGAUUCAUCCAUAGAGGUUAAUGCUGUAGGUGACGUGCCAUCAUCAAGUUCAAGGCAGGAUAAGCAAAAUAUUUAUGAGAAUAGAAAAUAUUUGGUUCUGAUUUAUUUGUAUGGCUUCUAUGUACUAAUGGUAUGGAAAAGGAAAAAAGGGGAAUAAUAAAGAAAUGCCAUGAUAACAAGAAAGAGAGUUUCGCUUGCUUGAGGAAUUGAAGAACCCUUAAUAAAGUUCUGUUGGGCCAUCAUGGAUCAUUUGAGAAUCUUAGGUUAUCUCGGAAUUUUUUCUUGUUAGGCUUACUUUGAUUACCUGUGCAGUUAAUAGGAACCUUGUAGGGUUUGGAGGGGUCGGAUUCUUGUCUACUGACCAAAAGAAAAAGCUCCUUUGGGGUAAUAAAAAGAACAAUCCUACAGAAGAGUCCUCCAGUCGUUGGGACUUGCAUCUGUUUCAAGACCUGGAGCGCCAGGAAAAGUUCAACAGACUCAUGAGCCUGAGCUUGCCUUUGCGGCUAUGGCCAAUUGUAGGGCGUGAAGGGAACCGUGGCUCCUCCAGAGAACGGACUGACGACAAAGAUGGAAGCCUCCAAGCAAAGAAAACAGGAGGAGCUCGAUACGGAUCUGGAGAGGCAAUAUACUGUUUGUGUUCGGGGUCUUGGCUUGUGAUGACAUGACACAUCAAGGAGAAAAUGUCCGAGCAUCUGAAUGCACAAGUCAUGCGAUAAUGGACACGAGACGAAUGCUAGUAUCUCAGCCCGGACUCGCUCUUGGCAACGUACAGCGCCGACGACGCUACGGAAAGAAGCGCAUCAGAGACUCUAAUUUGUUGCCUUGGAAUUCCGAAGAACACGAGAGAAAAAACACAAAAGGAAAUCCAACAAUCGAUCACGGCCUCAGAAGAAAGAUAUAGCAUCAGAGAGUCGGCGGCAUCACCGGAUCUCAGAUGGUACGGACAAUACCAUCGCAUCAUCGGCCGAUUGGAGGAACGAAACGGCUGAAGCAAGAAAGAUCUCGAUCGGUUUCCUUAGGGUUUUCGAAGCGGAGGAGGCAGAAAAGAGACGAUGUCAGCUCGCGGCUCCGUUUGAUCUUAUAUAGGGGGGGCAGGGAAGAAACCCGAACCCUAAAUUUUGAGUGCGUAAUGACGUGAAUACCCUCUUGAUUGGUUAAGCGAA
This is a long non-coding RNA of Musa acuminata AAA Group (dessert banana), 2324 nucleotides long. RefSeq lists it as uncharacterized. The record is from RefSeq and is a predicted model, not a curated record. Lineage: Eukaryota; Viridiplantae; Streptophyta; Magnoliopsida; Zingiberales; Musaceae. The transcript has 7 exons.